UUUGAACUGAAAAGCUUUGAAACUCAAAACUCGUAUCUCUAUUUUCAAUGGUGGAACUCGAGUUUUCAGCAAGAUUAUUAUAGCUUUCUAAGCUUGGUUUUUGAGUGGAACACCUUCCCCUAUUUAUAGGGAAGCUGAUGGAGUGGUUUGGAGGGAGAAAGGAAGUGGUUUGCUUAGAAAAGACAUGUGGUCUGAAGCAUGCUUGUGGGUGGAUUUUUGGGGAUUUGAAUUGGCAUGUUCUUAGCUAGUUUGCUUCACCAACCAACUGGUUUUGG
Molecule: long non-coding RNA, 275 nt
Filed under: Lathyrus oleraceus (garden pea)
Lineage: Eukaryota; Viridiplantae; Streptophyta; Magnoliopsida; Fabales; Fabaceae
Description: Pisum sativum (pea) long non-coding RNA (PSAT_LNC020904)
Source: RNAcentral